UAAUUAUUUGGAAAUCUCGACUUCCAGAUGCUUUUGCAAUGGCUUCACUGCUGAAUGAGUCUGACUCCAGAGCCCACCAGUGAAAGGCCAGCUUCUUACCUGUGUCUCCGCAACGCCUUGUUCAACAGACCGAGAGGAGAAGGAGACGCGAUCCGUGCUAAAGUGGACUCGGGAAAUGCCAUGAGUUGUUAGCAUUUCCAUGAAAAUCGAUGGGGAAAGGAGCCCAGGAAAGAGAGACAGAAUUGGUGCCUUUCUGAAUCAUCCGGAAGGGAUGUUGAAAUCCUGAUAUGAAGACAGUUUCACAAUA
Molecule: long non-coding RNA, 307 nt
Organism: Suricata suricatta (meerkat)
Lineage: Eukaryota; Metazoa; Chordata; Mammalia; Carnivora; Herpestidae
Exons: 2
Source: RefSeq, a predicted model, not a curated record